This is a long non-coding RNA of Drosophila gunungcola (fruit fly), 1498 nucleotides long. RefSeq lists it as uncharacterized. NCBI's taxonomy places the organism in Eukaryota, Metazoa, Arthropoda, Insecta, Diptera, Drosophilidae. The transcript has 3 exons. The record is from RefSeq and is a predicted model, not a curated record.
UUGUUCUUCAUCUGGGGGAUUUCCCCAUCUGCAAAGGCCUGGCAUUAAGUGAGUAAUAAAAAACCAGAAAACUGCAGUUGGCAGACAUGUGAUUGCAACUGCAGUGUGACUUACUGCAAGUGUUUUUAUAAUUUUAUUUGGAGAAAGUAUUGCGUAAAGCUGAAAUAAAAACGCUUUCCGUAACUUUACUUUCAUUGUUUCGGUGUAUGACUUUUAUUUCGAUAACUUUAAUAAGCAAUAAGCUUUAAGUCCAAAAUAAAAUUCACUAUAAAGAUCUUGAGUUCCUCCGAAUUUGGAUGUGCUUUCAUAAUCGCCUUGAAUUAUUGUUCAAUGCAUGUACUUUCUUUGGGGCCCCCAAUAAAAAGUUAUCAAGAUAAGAUAUAACUUGUGAAGCCUUGAAGUUACAUAAGUGCUUCUAGGUAAAUCGAGAAAUUUCACAGUCCUAAAAGGUAACUAUCUAUAUCAGGGACCGACUUUGUUUCAAAAUAUACAUAUCAGUUGACGAAUUUGGGAGACCAUGUAAGCAAUUUUGAAAUCAUAAUGCCAAGGCACGCGAGCAGGCUCAACGAACGGGGUCAUUAGGAAUUGAGUUCCGAACGGCUAGGAAAUUAAAAAUAAUAAGUUAAUUGCCUGAUUAGAAUAAUUUUCCGCUACAUGUCGGUCUGAGUGUGUUUGUGAGUGUGUUCAUAAUGAUAUCUGAAAGGCAAAAGCUCUCGGGGACUUUUUAUGGGGUUCGCUGAGUUGGUGCGGUUCUGACUAUCUCAUAAAUUAGUCUUGUGACAAACGAUGACAGUACGGAUUGGGUUGUUGCUCUUGGCAAACAAUGUCACCCACAACCAUACACCGCACACCACACUUGCAACAUCGAUUAAACUUUGAAGCCCGUGGGCAGGACAAAGUUUGCGAAAAAUAUUGACAACAAACGACCUUGUGGGUGACAGUCAGUGACGUCACUGUGACACUGGCUGGCACAAAGAUAAUAUUAAUUUCCCGACUCUGAUUUAAUUAUCUCAAUUGCUUAUCUACCGAAAUAGAAAAACCUUUCAUUUUCAUGGGCAUGCGGCGUACCAAAGACGAAAAACAGACCAACUGACCCGCAAGCCAAUGUCAAUGGUGCACUAAAUCUUGCCAGAAAUUCCUCGCCUACAUCUGCCUUUGUAUAAAUCGGAACAUAUCCACAUAUAGCUGAAUACAUAUAUGUUUGCUCGAUACGUUCAAUUUCAGUUUGCAGCCGAGCGAGUGAAAACUAAAAGCAAAACAAACCUACAACAGACCGUAUAUUUACGAUCUAUAGUGUAUGUGAAAAUGCUGUAUAUACACAUUAAAUUUAAAUUUCAAAUGAAGAAAACAAAAGUGGAAUGGAAAGACUCAUAAUUGUUGCAUAGUUCUUGUUUCAUGUCAUGGGCCAUAUCUUAGACAGAUCCUUGCAGAUCCUGAUUCCCGGUUCUCAACUUACCGAUGACGGAAACGCACUUCUCGUUCACAACACCACUGGGCA